UGAACGCUGGCGGCGUGCUUCACACAUGCACGUCGACCGAAGCACUUUAUUUGAUUUCCUUCGGGACUGAUUAUUUUGUGACUGAGUGGCGGACGGGUGAGUAACGCGUGGGUAACCUGCCUUGUACAGGGGGAUAACAGUUGGAAACGGCUGCUAAUACCGCAUAAGCGCACAGCAUCGCAUGAUGCAGUGUGAAAAACUCCGGUGGUAUAAGAUGGACCCGCGUUGGAUUAGCUAGUUGGUGAGGUAACGGCCCACCAAGGCGACGAUCCAUAGCCGACCUGAGAGGGUGACCGGCCACAUUGGGACUGAGACACGGCCCAAACUCCUACGGGAGGCAGCAGUGGGGAAUAUUGCACAAUGGGCGAAAGCCUGAUGCAGCGACGCCGCGUGAGCGAAGAAGUAUUUCGGUAUGUAAAGCUCUAUCAGCAGGGAAGAUAAUGACGGUACCUGACUAAGAAGCACCGGCUAAAUACGUG
This 479-nucleotide ribosomal RNA is filed under the name uncultured bacterium. RNAcentral describes it as "partial 16S ribosomal RNA". It matches the Rfam family "Bacterial small subunit ribosomal RNA", at positions 30 to 507 of the family's 1533-position model. The record is from RNAcentral.